RNAcentral lists this ribosomal RNA (252 nucleotides) under uncultured bacterium. RNAcentral's name for it is "partial 16S ribosomal RNA". It matches the Rfam family "Bacterial small subunit ribosomal RNA", at positions 524 to 776 of the family's 1533-position model. The record is from RNAcentral.
UACGUAGGUCCCGAGCGUUGUCCGGAUUUAUUGGGCGUAAAGCGAGCGCAGGUGGUUUAUUAAGUCUGGUGUAAAAGGCAGUGGCUCAACCAUUGUAUGCAUUGGAAACUGGUAGACUUGAGUGCAGGAGAGGAGACUGGAAUUCCCGGUGUAACGGUGGAAUGUGUAGAUAUCGGGAAGAACACCAAUGGCGAAGGCAGGUCUCUGGGCCGUUACUGACGCUGAGGAGCGAAAGCGUGGGGAGCGAACAGG